RNAcentral lists this ribosomal RNA (764 nucleotides) under uncultured bacterium. RNAcentral's name for it is "bacterial SSU rRNA". It matches the Rfam family "Bacterial small subunit ribosomal RNA", at positions 92 to 841 of the family's 1533-position model. The record is from RNAcentral.
CGAGUGGCGGACGGGUGAGUAACACGUGGGUAACCUGCCCUUAAGUGGGGGAUAACAUUUGGAAACAGAUGCUAAUACCGCAUAGAUCCAAGAACCGCAUGGUUCUUGGCUGAAAGAUGGCGUAAGCUAUCGCUUUUGGAUGGACCCGCGGCGUAUUAGCUAGUUGGUGAGGUAAUGGCUCACCAAGGCGAUGAUACGUAGCCGAACUGAGAGGUUGAUCGGCCACAUUGGGACUGAGACACGGCCCAAACUCCUACGGGAGGCAGCAGUAGGGAAUCUUCCACAAUGGACGCAAGUCUGAUGGAGCAACGCCGCGUGAGUGAAGAAGGCUUUCGGGUCGUAAAACUCUGUUGUUGGAGAAGAAUGGUCGGCAGAGUAACUGUUGUCGGCGUGACGGUAUCCAACCAGAAAGCCACGGCUAACUACGUGCCAGCAGCCGCGGUAAUACGUAGGUGGCAAGCGUUAUCCGGAUUUAUUGGGCGUAAAGCGAGCGCAGGCGGUUUUUUAAGUCUGAUGUGAAAGCCCUCGGCUUAACCGAGGAAGCGCAUCGGAAACUGGGAAACUUGAGUGCAGAAGAGGACAGUGGAACUCCAUGUGUAGCGGUGAAAUGCGUAGAUAUAUGGAAGAACACCAGUGGCGAAGGCGGCUGUCUGGUCUGUAACUGACGCUGAGGCUCGAAAGCAUGGGUAGCGAACAGGAUUAGAUACCCUGGUAGUCCAUGCCGUAAACGAUGAAUGCUAGGUGUUGGAGGGUUUCCGCCCUUC